AGGGUUUGAUCCUGGCUCAGAACGAACGUUGGCGGCGUGGUUGAGGCAUGCAAGUCGCGGGAGAAUGGCGGGGCAACUCGCUUAGUAAACCGGCGAAAGGGUGAGUAACGGGUAGAUGACGUACCUUGGAGAUGGGGAUAACGGUUCGAAAGGACCGCUAAUACCCGAUAAGACCACGGGUGUGCGCAUCCGGGGUCAAAUGCGGGGGACUCUUAGGAGCCUCGCGCUCUGAGAUCGGUCUACUCCCUACCAGCUAGUUGGCGGGGUAAUGGCCCACCAAGGCGACGACGGGUACCCGGGCUAAGAGGCUGACCGGGCACAUCGGCACUGAGACACUGGCCGGACACCUACGGGUGGCUGCAGUUCGGAAUAUUGGGCAAUGGGCGAAAGCCUGACCCAGCGACGCCGCGUGGAGGAUGAAGGCCCUCUGGGUUGUAAACUUCUGUCACGGGUGAACAAAUCGGUUCGGGUUAACACCUCGGGCCGUUGAGCUUAGCCUGGGAGGAAGCCCCCGCUAAUCACGUGCCAGCAGCGGCGGUAAUACGUGAGGGGCAAACGUUGUUCGGUGUCACUGGGCUUAAAGGGUGCGUAGGCGGCUGUGCAAGUAAGGUGUGAAAGCCCUCGGCUUACCCGGGGAACUGCGCCUUAAACUGCAUGGCUUGAGGGCCACAGGGGUUGGAGGAACUCCAGGUGUAGCGGUGAAAUGCGUAGAUAUCUGGGGGAAGGCCGGUAGCGAAGGCGUCCAACUGGGUGGUACCUGACGCUGAGGCACGAAAGCGUGGGGAGCAAACAGGAUUAGAUACCCUGGUAGUCCACGCCCUAAACUAUGGAUGCUAAGCGGGGGGAGGCCAAGACUUCCCCUGCUGCAGUGAAAACGUUAAGCAUCCCGCCUGGGGAGUAUGGUCGCAAGGCUGAAACUCAAAGGAAUUGACGGGGGCUCACACAAGCGGUGGAGCAUGUUGCUCAAUUCGAUGCAACGCGAAGAACCUUACCCGGGCUCGAAGCGCACGAAUUAAUCCUGUGAAAGCAGGUGUAACUCGCAAGAGUGGAGCGUGCGUAGGUGUUGCAUGGCUGUCGUCAGCUCGUGUCGUGAGAUGUCGGGUUAAGUCCUCUAACGAGCGAAACCCCUGUUUCUAGUUGCCAACGGGUCAUGCCGGGAACUCUAGAGAGACUGCCGGUGUUAAGCCGGAGGAAGGUGGGGACGACGUCAAGUCAUCAUGGCCCUUACGUCCGGGGCUGCAAACGUGCUACAAUGGCUGGUACAGCGCGACGCAAACCCGCGAGGGGGAGCAAAUCGCUUAAAACCAGCCUCAGUUCAGAUUGGGAGGCUGCAACCCGCCCCCAUGAAGCUGGAAUCGCUAGUAAUCGGGGAUCAGCUAUGCCCCGGUGAAUACGUUCCUGAGCCUUGUACACACCGCCCGUCAAGCCACGAAAGCCGGGAGUACCUGAAGUCCCCCUCAAAAGGGCCCACGGUAAAACCGGUGAUUGGGACUAAGUCGUAACAAGGUAGCCGUAGGGGAACCUGCGGCUG
RNAcentral lists this ribosomal RNA (1531 nucleotides) under bacterium UW 659-2-F09. RNAcentral's name for it is "bacterial SSU rRNA". It matches the Rfam family "Bacterial small subunit ribosomal RNA". The record is from RNAcentral.